GACGAACCUUGCAAACGUUAUUCGGAAUCACUGGGCUUAAAGGGUGCGUAGGCUGUGCAGAAAGUUGGGUGUGAAAUACCUCGGCUUAACCGAGGAAUUGCGCCCAAAACUACUGUGCUCGAGGAAGAUAGAGGUGAGCGGAACUUAGGGUGGAGCGGUGAAAUGCGUUGAUAUCCUAAGGAACACCGGUGGCGAAAGCGGCUCACUGGAUCUUAUCUGACGCUGAGGCACGAAAGCCAGGGUAGCGAACGGG
RNAcentral lists this ribosomal RNA (253 nucleotides) under uncultured bacterium. Its description in RNAcentral is "partial 16S ribosomal RNA". It matches the Rfam family "Bacterial small subunit ribosomal RNA", at positions 524 to 776 of the family's 1533-position model. The record is from RNAcentral.